AUUGAACGCUGGCGGCAUGCUUUACACAUGCAAGUCGAACGGCAGCGCGGGCUUCGGCCUGGCGGCGAGUGGCGAACGGGUGAGUAAUGCAUUGGAACGUGCCCAGUAGUGGGGGAUAGCCCGGCGAAAGCCGGAUUAAUACCGCAUACGACCUGAGGGUGAAAGCGGGGGACCGAAAGGCCUCGCGCUAUUGGAGCGGCCGAUGUUGGAUUAGCUAGUUGGUGGGGUAAAGGCUUACCAAGGCGACGAUCCGUAGCUGGUCUGAGAGGACGACCAGCCACACUGGGACUGAGACACGGCCCAGACUCCUACGGGAGGCAGCGGUGGGGAAUUUUGGACAAUGGGGGCAACCCUGAUCCAGCCAUGCCGCGUGCGGGAAGAAAGCCUUCGGGUUGUAAGCCGCCUUUGUUCGGGAAGAAAUCCUCUGGGCUAAUACCCCGGGGGGAUGACGGUACCGGAAGAAUAAGCACCGGCUAACUACGUG
RNAcentral lists this ribosomal RNA (484 nucleotides) under uncultured bacterium. Its description in RNAcentral is "partial 16S ribosomal RNA". It matches the Rfam family "Bacterial small subunit ribosomal RNA", at positions 28 to 507 of the family's 1533-position model. The record is from RNAcentral.